Mirounga angustirostris (Northern elephant seal) is the source of this 1712-nucleotide long non-coding RNA. RefSeq lists it as uncharacterized. The transcript has 3 exons. NCBI's taxonomy places the organism in Eukaryota, Metazoa, Chordata, Mammalia, Carnivora, Phocidae. The record is from RefSeq and is a predicted model, not a curated record.
CGGGAUGAGGGCGGGGCGAUUGGGGGUUGGAGAAGAGCGUGCGCGCACGGCAACCAGAUGUGAGGGUCCGAGCGGUGCCUGGUCUUAACCCGCCCGCUGGGCAGCGUCAGGUGUAGCACCCGCAGAACCUCUAGCACUUCCGGAGAGAGAAACUUGAGGGAAGGCCAUGUCUAGUGAGCCUAGAGAGCCCGGAAAAGCAAGCCCUCUCCAACACCCUAAAACGAAAACCCAGAUGCCCUUCAGGACAACCGGCCACCACCCAAAGCACAGAACAGCGAAUCUCCAGUCGGGAGACCCGUUUACUCCUGACUGCUUUUGUCCUCCGUUUCCUUAAGGAGUUGAAUUUAUAUCAUCAAAGGCUCUUGUUCAAGGGAUGUGUCCAUUGUGAUACUCACUAAAAACAAAAAAACCUUUUUAAGGAAGAAAGAAAGAAAAAAAGAAAAAGAAAAGGAAGAAAAGAAUGCCAGGCACACAAUAGGACUGUACUUUCCUGAAGUUAGUCAUGGCCAUCUGACCUGCUUUGGCCAAUGAAAUAAGAGCAACAUGUCCCUUCAAGGUGGAAGUAUUUGACUGUGGGUGCUCAGCUCUCUAUCCUUAAUUAUUCCUUACCUUGAUGAUUGUGGGAGUGUGAGGUGCAACAGUGAGCCAUCAUAUAAUGGACAACUGCCCUGGAGAGUUCUGUAGGCCUACAGUAAACUUUGAGUAAGUAAGAAUAAAUCUUGGUUGUGUUAAUCCGCUGAGAUUAUGGAGUUGUUUGUCUUAUCAGCAGAACCUAGCCUAUCCUUCCUGAUUUAAGACUGAUUGUAUACUAGAUGGUUGUGCUGGUGGGCACAGUGAGAGACAUAAGGAAACAGUUAUAGCCCUUGCCAAAAAAGUUCCUGCAAAUUAGUUAAAGUAUGUAGAUUGGGAGUUAAUGGGCCAAGGGGCUAGAAAACUGCACUGGAGGCAUGAUUCAGUGGAGUUUUAAAUGCUGAAACACUGAGACAACAUUGUACAGUAGGAAAAUGAAUUUAAGGAAGUAUAAAGCCCUACCCACAAAGAGCUGAUAUCUAGUUCCAUAAUUCUCCAACCAGGAAUCCAGACUCUUAGAAGUUAAGUAGUGAAAAAAAAAAAAAAGUUAAGUAGUGAUAUACCAAAAAGGGACAAAAAGACUGAAGAUAAAAGGCUUUGGGGAGUGUCUAGUUAACUCAUGCUAUAUUAUUUAAUAUGUAAGAUAUGUCUUUAUAUAUGUAUUUAUUUUUUUUUAAGAUUUUGUGUAUUUAUUUGAGAGAGAGAAUGAGAGAGAGAGAGAGCAUGAGAGGGGGCAGGGUCAGAGGGAGAAGCAGACUCCCCGCUGAGCAGGGAGUCCGAUGCGGGACUCGAUCCUGGGACUCCAGUAUCAUGACCUGAGCCUAAGGCAGUCGCUUAACCAAUUCAGCCACCCAGGCACCCUAUACAUAUAUAUUUUAAAUGAUGUAUAGAGGGGUGCCUGGGUGGCUCAGUCAGUUAAGUGGCCAACACUUGAUUUCAGCUCAGGUCACUGAUCUCAGGGUCCUGGGAUCGAGCCCUGCGUCUGGUUCUGCACUCAGCAAGGAGUCUGCUUGAGUUUCUCCCUCUCCCUCUGCCCCUUCCCUGGCUCACAAGCUCUCUCGCUCUCUCUCAAGUAAAUAAAUCUUUAAAAAAAUGAUAUAUAGAAUGAAAAAUUGACAUAAAUUUUAAGGUAAAAGAUACAA